Molecule: ribosomal RNA, 483 nt
Filed under: uncultured bacterium
Lineage: Bacteria
Description: partial 16S ribosomal RNA
Rfam family: Bacterial small subunit ribosomal RNA
Source: RNAcentral
AUUGAACGCUGGCGGCAGGCCUAACACAUGCAAGUCGAGCGGAUGAAGGGAGCUUGCUCCUGGAUUCAGCGGCGGACGGGUGAGUAAUGCCUAGGAAUCUGCCUGGUAGUGGGGGAUAACGUCCGGAAACGGGCGCUAAUACCGCAUACGUCCUGAGGGAGAAAGUGGGGGAUCUUCGGACCUCACGCUAUCAGAUGAGCCUAGGUCGGAUUAGCUAGUUGGUGGGGUAAAGGCCUACCAAGGCGACGAUCCGUAACUGGUCUGAGAGGAUGAUCAGUCACACGGGAACUGAGACGCGGUCCAGACCCCGACGGGAGGCAGCAGUGGGAAAUAUUGGACAAUGGGCGAAAGCCUGAUCCAGCCAUGCCGCGUGUGUGAAGAAGGUCUUCGGAUUGUAAAGCACUUUAAGUUGGGAGGAAGGGCAGUAAGUUAAUACCUUGCUGUUUUGACGUUACCAACAGAAUAAGCACCGGCUAACUUCGU